AGUUUUCUCUUUGUAGUCUCCCUGAUCUCAUAAUUCUCUUGUAACUUUUCCUUCAACCUUGAAGCUCCACCACUGGUGCAGCACGUGAUGACAACUCCUGAUCGAACUGUUCUAGCAGUCUUCACUCCCACUUUCAAGUCUUUGAGAUUGACCUCCUGCUUUACCUUUUCCAACAGCUUCUUUGGUUCGAUUGCCUCCAUGCCCUUGUAGGGGGUACACAAGUACUGCUGCAUCUUCUCGUCGUGGGAUUGGUCGUUUUAUGAUAUCCGAAUACAGAGAUUUAGAUGGUCGUUCCUCUGUUUGCCUGUGCUCUAAUUCACGUUGUAAGUCUUCCACUUUCUCGCACACCUUGAUGAAUUCGUCAAGUAGCCCUUCAAAAAUGGUUGACAUUGUAGCUAGAUUAUUCGGAAUAUUAUCCCUUAUCGAUCUCUUUAGAUUCUUGCUUUCAUCUAGGGCACUAAAACCCUACUUAACGUGCGGCGAUACAACUGGCCAUUAUGCACCCCCCUCUCAGAGUUCGCUUGGUCUCUGAUAACACCGGGAGAAGUCAUGACACCUAAUCAAGAUUAUUUAAUCUAUAAAGUAAAUGUAAGUAAAUAAAGUAAAAUGUUCAGGAAAUUUUUCAAUUUUCUAAUUAACCUAUAUAAUGAUAUAUGUAUUAAGAAACUGCAAAAAGAGAUGAACUCAAAAAUAUAGAAUACUAGCAAUCAAUAAUUGAAACUGGAGCUUAAAACAGAAAAGCUUUCAAUCCGCAACCUGAAAAGUUCUAGAAUGUUCUAUUCUGAAAAAUUUUUAGAUUUACCCUAACAAAUUAUAUAUUUUUGGAACCCUUAUUAAAUUCUAAGACCAACUAUUAUAAAUUUCGUAAUAUAACCUAAAUUAACAAAAUCUACUUAAGAAAACUGAAUAUCCAGUACUAUCAACUAAAUGCAAUCCUUACUUCUUAAAUAAUGAAAGAAACCACCCAGGAGCACAGGUUCCGGUCUGCCCUCUUACCAACCUGAAAAGCUGGCUUAAAAUUGUUGGCUGAAAACAGUUCUGCUUCUACAUGAUCAUUGAAAAUUCUGAUAUUACUCCGUAAGGCCUCAGCAGUGAUGUCUAGUGGAGCUCUAGUGAUCAUAAUUCUGGAUUUUCUCUUUGUAGUCUCCCUGGCCUCAUAAUUCUCUUGUAACUUUUCCUUCAACCUUGAAGCUCCACC
This 1198-nucleotide long non-coding RNA is filed under the name Androctonus crassicauda. The record is from RNAcentral. Lineage: Eukaryota; Metazoa; Arthropoda; Arachnida; Scorpiones; Buthidae.